This is a long non-coding RNA of Cyprinodon tularosa, 1323 nucleotides long. RefSeq lists it as uncharacterized. The transcript is spliced from 7 exons. The record is from RefSeq and is a predicted model, not a curated record. NCBI's taxonomy places the organism in Eukaryota, Metazoa, Chordata, Actinopteri, Cyprinodontiformes, Cyprinodontidae.
CAGGCCGCUCUAUGCAGUGCAUUGCCUCUGUUAUCCAGACCCUAAGAUUACAGUAGCAACAGGUCAUGGGACCAGGAAGGUUUUUUAAAUCUGAGGGAAUUUUGAUGCUUUGACACAGAUGACAAGAACUAUGACCUGGGGAAACUAAGUUCUCCUCCAGGCUGUUUUAUCAUAGUUCUACUUUUGCCACUGCUGGGCUUUUACUAGGUCCCCAAGGAUUGGCAUAUCCCGACCCAAUACAACCUGGUAUGGAAGUUUAUCCAUCACUCCAACUGUAAGCAAAUGCUGCUGUUCAUGUACUUGAAGUACAACAUCAUCACCAUGAACACACCAGACUUUAACACAUAACGUGGUGUCUCUGGGAAGACAAUCUUGCCUUAUAAGAGUACAGCUACUACCUGAAUCUAAUAGAGCGACACAAGCCUUUCCCUGAAAAAAAAACACAGAUUGUGUGCUCCUGCGCACUUGAGGGUACUACAGACUCACGUUCUUCCUCUAACUAAUCAAAACACUCUGGUGAAAAACACUACAAAAAACAGCAAGUCUUACUGACUUGCUGACUUGGGCAAUUAGCCUUAAAAUGACCAGUGAGGCCACAAGAGUGACAAACCAACUGACCUUUCCGUUUAAAUUCCCUAACACAGUUAUUGCUACUGAUUGGGGAAUUUUCUUUGGAAUACUUUGGUCUGUGUCUUUUCCUUUGGAACCAUCCACUUUUCAUACAGGUCUUUAAGGCGUGUUCGCAGCUCCUUGGGUGUCUCAUCUUCCUUCACUGUUGUGGCCCGGAACCUCGAUCUCAUUGAGAAGCCUUCCAGGAUCAGCUACUGCACCUUCCAGCUGCAUCUGAUGCUCUUGGCGUUCCAUGUGGACCUCCUGCUGAAGUAGACCGAAGUGGUGUUGCAUUUUCCUACAUAAACCCUACUUCAAAGUCGGUGUUGUCAUCCAAUGGAAUCCUUUCCUAUUUGCUGGUCGGAUUGAGUUUCAAGGGGCUCUACCAUGGAUGGCUGUAAGGAUCCAUGUCGCCUUUGUUUGGGGGCGACCUGCUGCAUGAGGAUGUUUGUUCCAGGGACCUCAACAGAACAUUUUUGGCUUUUUUUCUUUUUCACAAUGUUUUCCUGCAAAUAAAUUAAUGAAAAAUAGCUUAAUGUGUAUUCGGGUUAUUAAUUGUUACAUUGUCAACGUGGUUCAUAUUUAUAAUGUAAUGAAACUUUUUAAAUGAUUUUCUUCCUAGUUUGAAAGAUCACACCAACAUAAAAGUCUUUUUUAAGUUGUCAUUCAUGGAUUUUGGUUAUCUCUUGUGGGGAGUUACCAUCUGAUCUCACA